This 468-nucleotide ribosomal RNA is filed under the name uncultured bacterium. RNAcentral describes it as "partial 16S ribosomal RNA". It matches the Rfam family "Bacterial small subunit ribosomal RNA", at positions 28 to 507 of the family's 1533-position model. The record is from RNAcentral.
GACGAACGCUGGCGGCGUGCUUAACACAUGCAAGUCGAACGGAAAGGCCCUGCUUUUGUGGGGUGCUCGAGUGGCGAACGGGUGAGUAACACGUGAGUAACCUGCCCUUGACUUUGGGAUAACUUCAGGAAACUGGGGCUAAUACCGGAUAGGAGCUCCUGCAGCAUGGUGGGGGUUGGAAAGUUUCGGCGGUUGGGGAUGGACUCGCGGCUUAUCAGCUUGUUGGUGGGGUAGUGGCUUACCAAGGCUUUGACGGGUAGCCGGCCUGGGAGGGUGACCGGCCACAUUGGGCCUGAGGUACGGCCCAGACUCCUACGGGAGGCAGCGGUGGGGAGUAUUGCACAGUGGGAGGGAGCCUGAUGCAACAGCGCCGCGUGCGGAAUGACGGCCUUCGGGUUGUAAACCGCUGUCGCCUGUGACGAAGCGUGAGUGACGGUAAUGGGUAAAGAAGCACCGGCUAACUACGUG